UGAGCCGUGGCCGCCACCGCCGCCGCCGCCGCCGCCGCCGCCGCCUUAUGUUUGUGUGCGCCGGAUUGUAUAUAUGGGUCAAGAGCCACGGCGCGCGCUUAACUCGUUCCAAUUAAUAGAACGCCACUCUAUACAUAUAUCGAGUUCGGUGCAGUUCGUAUAUAUUAUGUGUAGCACGCGUGACACAUCAUCGAAACUACAUUAUGUGAUCUGCACAUCACAGCUGUCAUGUCGUCAUAUUUUGGACCGGGCAAUAUAUAUACAAACGUGCAAUGUAUACAUUUUGCGCAUAUAAAACCCGAUAUUAUUGGCCCACUUCUCAAAUAGGUUCACCCAAAAAAUGGAUAAAGUCUAUAGACUGAAUUUUCUGCAUAGAAAUAUGCGUAGGUAUACCCAUAUCCAAUAUGGAAAAAAUGUAAAUGACGGACGCUGCAGUUCAUACACGAUUUCGCCUAUGAUUGUGAUGGUCGACGACGGAAAAAUCAAAAAGAUUCAAUCGCCGUCGAGGAUGGUGCAGCAUGCCGAACAUCAUCCAUCGGGCAGACAGAAUUUUUUUCCCCCGUUCAUCGACGGCCGCGAGCUCGGGUUCUCGCCAAAAACGAUUAUUGCCCGGCCUAUCCGGCGGAGAUUGUUUUUAUUAACGCGCGUAUAAAUAAUAGUUUAUUAUGUGUAUUGUGCGUAUAGUGUACAUCGUAUAAUUAUUAUAUAAUAUAGGAACACACGCCGUAAAUGCGAAUACCCUUGAAAAUCGACAUAAUCGCAGCGAUCACACGUUUGUGUGUGUACUACUUUGAAAUUCUAAUCCGGUAACGGCGAAACUUUGAUGAGCAAAAGUAAAAUGGCUUUACAAUUUUUAUAAAGCGUUUGAGGUACGAUGAGAAGGAAGUAAGGAACUAUAAAAAGGAGUAGUGCGUUGUGCGUUACAAUUCUCUAUAUAGAGUACUAAAUAACUUAUAAUAUAAUUUAUUCAUCAAAAAUGAUUAAAUUGAUUUGAACUUCAAAAAUGCAUUUAAAUUUAUAAUAUAUUAUUAUGUUAAUAUGUCAUGAACUUAUAAGCUAUAUCGGGUAAAGAUGCAAUACUAAAUAUCAUUUAUCGACUUUUUGGAAACUUAAUCUACUAAAAAAUAUAAUAUCAUAUAAAUACUUUCUCAGCAUACCAUCGUAUUACUAUACCUACGCAUAGACUAUAGAUAUAUGGUUCUAUUUAAUAUUCAUACCUAUAUUGUAGUAUUAAUAUAUUUAUUAGAAACGUCAAUAUUCAAUAAACAUUAAUUUAUAAAUUAUAAUAUUAAAAUUGAUAUUGUACAUUUUCUUUUAUCUUCAAUAGAUUACUACGUACGUCGUACAUUGUAAUUUUUCUCGUUCGCCUACACACAUGACAGACGAUUUCAAAUCCGUUGUCGACAGGCAAUAUUUUCCAAACAAUCUGUAUCCGAGUUACUGAAACGAUUGUUUUUACGACUAGAAUACUAUACCACAGAAAAAUAUACAUUACCCAUAGUAUUCAUAUAAUAUAUAUUAUAUAUACAGUGAUCUUAAACAUGUAUUGAAUACUUAAUAAUUUAAAUAAUAUAUAUUAUACUAAUAAAUUGUGACACAUCAAUUAUCAGUACAUAGUGGAUAUUAUUUAAAAAUGAAGUUAUAGACAGAAAACUGGUAAAUAAUAAA
Molecule: long non-coding RNA, 1668 nt
Organism: Myzus persicae (green peach aphid)
Lineage: Eukaryota; Metazoa; Arthropoda; Insecta; Hemiptera; Aphididae
Exons: 2
Source: RefSeq, a predicted model, not a curated record